CAAUAGCGUAUAUUUAAGUUGUUGCAGUUAAAAAGCUCGUAGUCGGAUUUUGGCUGAGAACGAACGGUCCGCCGUUAGGUGUGCACUGUUUGGUCUCAGCUUCCUGGUGAGGAGGUGUGCUUCACGGCCACUUAGUCACCGUGGUUACUUUGAAAAAAUUAGAGUGUUCAAAGCGGGCUUACGCUUGAAUAUAUUAGCAUGGAAUAACACCAUAGGACUCCUGUCCUAUUUCGUUGGUCUCGGGACGGGAGUAAUGAUUAAGAGGAACAGUUGGGGGCAUUCGUAUUUCAUUGUCAGAGGUGAAAUUCUUGGAUUUACGGAAGACGAACUACUGCGAAAGCAUUUACCAAGGAUGUUUUCAUUAA
RNAcentral lists this ribosomal RNA (365 nucleotides) under uncultured eukaryote. RNAcentral's name for it is "partial 18S ribosomal RNA". It matches the Rfam family "Eukaryotic small subunit ribosomal RNA", at positions 592 to 976 of the family's 1831-position model. The record is from RNAcentral.